GACGAACGCUGGCGGCGUGCUUAACACAUGCAAGUCGAACGGAAAGGCCCUGCUUUUGUGGGGUGCUCGAGUGGCGAACGGGUGAGUAACACGUGAGUAACCUGCCCUUGACUUUGGGAUAACUUCAGGAAACCGGGGCUAAUACCGGAUAGGAGCUCUUGCUGCACGGUGGGGGUUGGAAAGUUUCGGCGGUUGGGGAUGGACUCGCGGCUUAUCAGCUUGUUGGUGGGGUAGUGGCUUACCAAGGCUUUGACGGGUAGCCGGCCUGAGAGGUUGACCGGCCACAUUAGGACUGAGAUACGGCGCAGAAUCCUAGGGGAGGCAGCAGGGGGGAAUCUUACACAAUGGGCGGAAGCCUGGUGCGGAAACGCCGCGUGCGGGAUGACGGCCUUCGGGUUGGAAACCGCUUUCGCCUGUGACGAAGCGUGAGUGACGGUAAUGGGUAAAGAAGCACCGGCUAACUACGUG
Molecule: ribosomal RNA, 468 nt
Filed under: uncultured bacterium
Lineage: Bacteria
Description: partial 16S ribosomal RNA
Rfam family: Bacterial small subunit ribosomal RNA
Source: RNAcentral